This 208-nucleotide ribosomal RNA is filed under the name uncultured bacterium. RNAcentral describes it as "partial 16S ribosomal RNA". It matches the Rfam family "Bacterial small subunit ribosomal RNA", at positions 568 to 775 of the family's 1533-position model. The record is from RNAcentral.
CGCGUAGGCGGCUGGGUAAGCGUGUGGUGAAAGCCCGGGGCUCAACCCCGGGUCGGCCAUGCGAACUGUCCAGCUGGAGCACGGUAGAGGCACAUGGAAUUCCGGGUGUAGCGGUGGAAUGCGUAGAGAUCCGGAAGAACACCGGUGGCGAAGGCGGUGUGCUGGGCCGUGGCUGACGCUGAGGCGCGACAGCGUGGGGAGCAAACAG